UCUGGUUUAGCAUAUAUAAUGCGUUAGAUUGUAAAUCUUUUUAAAACAUAUGAUGUUAACUAGGA
This 65-nucleotide transfer RNA is filed under the name Dipylidium caninum. Its description in RNAcentral is "tRNA-Tyr". Lineage: Eukaryota; Metazoa; Platyhelminthes; Cestoda; Cyclophyllidea; Dipylidiidae. The record is from RNAcentral.